This 694-nucleotide ribosomal RNA is filed under the name Escherichia coli. RNAcentral's name for it is "partial 23S ribosomal RNA". It matches the Rfam family "Bacterial large subunit ribosomal RNA", at positions 2188 to 2876 of the family's 2925-position model. The record is from RNAcentral. Lineage: Bacteria; Pseudomonadati; Pseudomonadota; Gammaproteobacteria; Enterobacterales; Enterobacteriaceae.
GACCUUGAAAUACCACCCUUUAAUGUUUGAUGUUCUAACGUUGACCCGUAAUCCGGGUUGCGGACAGUGUCUGGUGGGUAGUUUGACUGGGGCGGUCUCCUCCUAAAGAGUAACGGAGGAGCACGAAGGUUGGCUAAUCCUGGUCGGACAUCAGGAGGUUAGUGCAAUGGCAUAAGCCAGCUUGACUGCGAGCGUGACGGCGCGAGCAGGUGCGAAAGCAGGUCAUAGUGAUCCGGUGGUUCUGAAUGGAAGGGCCAUCGCUCAACGGAUAAAAGGUACUCCGGGGAUAACAGGCUGAUACCGCCCAAGAGUUCAUAUCGACGGCGGUGUUUGGCACCUCGAUGUCGGCUCAUCACAUCCUGGGGCUGAAGUAGGUCCCAAGGGUAUGGCUGUUCGCCAUUUAAAGUGGUACGCGAGCUGGGUUUAGAACGUCGUGAGACAGUUCGGUCCCUAUCUGCCGUGGGCGCUGGAGAACUGAGGGGGGCUGCUCCUAGUACGAGAGGACCGGAGUGGACGCAUCACUGGUGUUCGGGUUGUCAUGCCAAUGGCACUGCCCGGUAGCUAAAUGCGGAAGAGAUAAGUGCUGAAAGCAUCUAAGCACGAAACUUGCCCCGAGAUGAGUUCUCCCUGACUCCUUGAGAGUCCUGAAGGAACGUUGAAGACGACGACGUUGAUAGGCCGGGUGUGUAAGCGC